CAAUAGCGUAUAUUAACGUUGUUGCAGUUAAAAAGCUCGUAGUUGGAUUUCUGGUUGAAGCGACCGGUCGGGCGUUGAUUCGUCUGCACUGGAGUCGGUUUUGGCCAUCCUCUAGGAAAGUGCGUCUGGUAUUAAGUUAUCGGGCGUAUGAUCCUGGUCUUUUACUGUGAAAAAAUUAGAGUGUUUAAAGCAGGCCUUCGCCUUGAAUACAUUAGCAUGGAAUAAUAAGAUAGGACUUUGGUCUAUUUUGUUGGUUUGCAGACCGAAGUAAUGAUUAAUAGGGAUAGUUGGGGGUAUUUAUAUUCCGAUGUCAGAGGUGAAAUUCUUAGAUUUUCGGAAGAUAAACUUAUGCGAAAGCAUUUACCAAGGAUGUUUNCAUUAA
Molecule: ribosomal RNA, 382 nt
Filed under: uncultured eukaryote
Lineage: Eukaryota
Description: partial 18S ribosomal RNA
Rfam family: Eukaryotic small subunit ribosomal RNA
Source: RNAcentral